GAUGACGAUUACAUGGAAAAUUUCCAAAGAAGCUUUUCCAUUUUACAGAGAACCUAAAGCAUAACCUGAAUCAGCUCCCCCUUCAAAAAUUCUAUUCCUGCAGGGAAAAAGAGAGAAGAAAGCAGACGGUGGAAUCUCUCCAAGCGAUGAUAGACCGGGCUACUGGGUGACAAGUGGUGAAGCAUCCAGGAGCCAGCAGUUGCCAGUGGUCCCCUUUACCCGUGAGUUGUUCAAUGGAAGGCAGUAGGAGAACUAUCACUGUCUUCUUCAACAAAGUCACGAGACUAAAUAUUUGGAAGAGGAUUCAGAAUGGAAAUGAAAUGAGGCAUUGUGUGUUAUGCUGACCUACUUUAAACACUACUCCUGGAAAAUGGGAGUCUGCACAGGAGCUUCCUCAGAAUACUUCUCUUGGUAUGAUUCUCAUGAGACUGUACUAAAAUUAUCUCGAUGAACAACUUCGUGUUUUUUGCUUGGCAUGGGUUGUGGGAAGAAAGCAAGAAUGCACUAUAUCACCAUUUGUAUUAAUUCUUUGGACUGACAUGGUUAUUUUUAUUUGCAGCAGGUUUAUAUUAUCCUCAGAAGGAUCUUUUUACGAAGGGAUUCCUCGUAUGAGGUUCUGCCAGAGCAGAUGCACUUUAAAUGACAGGUUUAGAAUGGCCUUUUCUCUGUCAAGCAAGUUGGCACAAGCUGGUUGUCAAGCGACACAGUGGCUGGCAUCUAUUAGCUUACUGAGGAUGAAAUGAGUGGCAUUCCAUCCAAUACUGACUAUUUUUUAUUUUAUUUUUUUACGGUGUCUCCUUAAAAUGAUCAGAUGAUUGGACUCUUUGUAGGGGCCUCACUCAUGAUGAAAUGCAACCCAUUACUAACUAUCCAAGGUGGCAAUGCUUAUUUGGUGAGUUUUGUUCCUAAUAACAAGAUGAAGGGACAGUGAGUUCCUCCUUUGUAAAGACCUGAGAAGCUCUGGGAACUGGCAGAUUCCCAAUUUUUAUUUUAAUUCUGAUUACAUAGUAAAAACAACUCACAGAAUUUAAUGUCUAAUUUGAGACACUUUAAUCUUCGUUUCAUCCAUUAAUUUGUCAAGACAAUGUUGAAAGAGAAACUUGAAAGCAAGUUCUCCCUGUCAGAAAAACCCUUUCAGGGCCUUGAGGAAAAAUCUCUCUUAAUCACAUUUUAUUAUACUUUUUUCUAAGUAUCUGAACAAGGAGCCCAUAACACAGGCAUGAGUCUGAACACCAAUUCUUAUUCCAGAUAGCAACAAGUCAUACUGGAUGCAAUCUCAACCUCUUUAUGCACUUAGUAAUUCCUAUAUCCCACAAUUAUUUGUGCAGUGUUAAGAAACUCAACCCUGUGGAUUUCAGUUUGCUCAUCUACAAAAUCAUAAUAUUGGACUAAUUGAUCUUUAAGGUCCUGUCAGAUUUUUAAAAUUAUCUUUUUUUAAAAAAAGUAUUUUAUUAAAGACAAUGUUAGAAGUAAAAACAAUGGCAUCAUUAUCAUUUAUUCAAUCUAACCUGUCUAACCAUCAUAUCUGAAUUUAGUACUUAAAGCUUGGGGUUCUUUAUUCUCAGACUUUACUGUUAAUACUGAUGAACUCCAACUCAUGAAUUUAGUGAAAUACAAAUACCCUUCUCUGGGAGUAAACUGUAAUAAUAUGCUUCUAUGUUGGGGGGAGAAAAACCCCAAACAGACCUUUUUUCUUUUAGAUUUUGAAUGGCUUGUCUAGCUCUUCCCCU
Molecule: long non-coding RNA, 1730 nt
Organism: Cercocebus atys (sooty mangabey)
Lineage: Eukaryota; Metazoa; Chordata; Mammalia; Primates; Cercopithecidae
Exons: 3
Source: RefSeq, a predicted model, not a curated record